Molecule: long non-coding RNA, 67 nt
Organism: Maniola jurtina (meadow brown)
Lineage: Eukaryota; Metazoa; Arthropoda; Insecta; Lepidoptera; Nymphalidae
Exons: 3
Source: RefSeq, a predicted model, not a curated record
GUUUUCACCAAUACAGUACAGUACUACCACUUUUAUACGUCACAUCGGCAAAAUUUUUCGCAAAAAA